RNAcentral lists this long non-coding RNA (760 nucleotides) under Homo sapiens (human). RNAcentral's name for it is "HSALNT0393166". The record is from RNAcentral. Lineage: Eukaryota; Metazoa; Chordata; Mammalia; Primates; Hominidae.
CUAGGCCUCGACUGACACACACAAGGCACUACUCUCCCAGAGGGGUUCAGCAUGGUGCCCUCAGCCGAUCCUAGAGCCAAAGGGCCCAUGGACGAGCGUUGCUCAAUGUCUGCAGAGUGUUCCAGCAAGGUUCCCAGCUCAGACUCCAGCUUUGGAUAAAGAACACUAUUUCUUUAGUUAUUUAGCAAAAUUAAACUUUGUGUUAUCUGCUGCAAGAGCACCAAGGGGGAGAAAUCAGUUAAUUUUUUUUAAAUUUUGAGAUGGAGUCUUGCUAUGAAGUGAUGUGAUCUCGGCUCACUGCAACUUCUGCCUGCUGGGUUCAAGUGAUUCCCUGCCUUAGCCUCCCGAGUAGCUGGGACUCCAGGUGCCUGCCGCCACACUCAGCUAAUUUUUGUUUUGUUUUGUUUUGUUUUGUAAUUUUAGUAGAGACAUGGUUUCACCAUAUUGGCCAGGCUGGUCUCGAACUCCUGACCUCAGGUGAUCCACCUGCCUCGGCCUCCCAAAGUGCUGGGAUUACAGACGUGAGCCACCGAGCCUGGCCAAAUCAGUUAAUUAUAUUAGUAUUUACGUGGUCUUAAGAUCUUAGCUUAAUGAACCAAAUGUGAUUUGUCAAAAUUGACAACUGGGAAGGAAGGCCAAGAAUCUGAAAGAAAGACCAGAGAUUAUGCACAAACUGGAACAGCAGACAACCUCAAGACAGAGCCAAGGAAGAGGAUCUUCCAAGCACAUUCAGUUUUAUGUUAAGUGGCUUAGUGAUCUC